GAUGAACGCUGACAGAAUGCUUAACACAUGCAAGUCGACUGUGGCGGACGGGUGAGUAACGCGUAAAGAACUUGCCUCACAGAUAGGGACAACCUUUGGAAACGAAUGCUAAUACCUGAAACUGUGAGAGAGCUUUGCGUCCCAUUAGCUAGUUGGAGAGGUAACGGCUCACCAAGGCGAGGAUGGGUAGCCGGCCUGAGAGGGUGAUCGGCCACAAGGGGACUCGGGAGCCAGCCGUACGCAUCCGGGAGGCAGCAGCGGGAGAGUGUGGAAGAUGUACCAAAGUCUGAUCAAGCAAUUCUGUGUGCACAAUGAAUUUUUCGGAAUGUAGAGUGCUUUCAGUUGAGAAGCGGUACCAACAGAAGAAGCGACGGCUAAAUACGUGCCAGCAGCCGCGGUAAUAC
Molecule: ribosomal RNA, 404 nt
Filed under: uncultured bacterium
Lineage: Bacteria
Description: partial 16S ribosomal RNA
Rfam family: Bacterial small subunit ribosomal RNA
Source: RNAcentral